UCCUCACUUCUUUAGCCCACUGGGCAGAGAUGAGUUUCUUUAAAAUCUCAAAGAGCUGAUUGACAUCUUCUCGAAGCGACCUGUUUCGGGUUUCCAUGUUCAUUAAUGGACCUCAUAUCUUCAUGUCUUUCUACUUAUUUUUCACAAGGAAGUGUUGGUCGAUAGUUCGUAUUUGGUAUUUUUAAGUCUUUGUAUAAGGAAUGGUUACGAGAAACGCGACUCUGAUAUUAAUUGUAACGCCCAGAACUGAAAAUGAGAUAAAGAUAUGAAUUGAAUGCGGAAGCAAAAUAAUAGAGUUAGGGUUUACAUUCCAUACACAAUAGUUUAAAAUACCCAAUAGUGCUAUAGGAAU
Molecule: long non-coding RNA, 352 nt
Filed under: Carica papaya (papaya)
Lineage: Eukaryota; Viridiplantae; Streptophyta; Magnoliopsida; Brassicales; Caricaceae
Description: long non-coding RNA (CPAP_LNC004179)
Source: RNAcentral